GGCUAACUCCGUGCCAGCAGCCGCGGUAAUACGGGGGGAGCAAGCGUUGUUCGGAUUUACUGGGCGUAAAGGGCGCGUAGGCGGCCGAACAGGUCACUUGUGAAAUCUCCGGGCUUAACUCGGAAAGGUCAAGUGAUACUGUUUGGCUAGAGUGCGGAAGGGGCAACUGGAAUUCUCGGUGUAGCGGUGAAAUGCGUAGAUAUCGAGAGGAACACCUGCGGCGAAGGCGGGUUGCUGGGCCGACACUGACGCUGAUGCGCGAAAGCUAGGGGAGCGAACGGGAUUAGAUACCCCGGUAGUCCUAGCCUUAAACGAUGAAUGCUUGGUGUCUCGGGUUAUAAAGUCCCGGGGUGCCGUCGCUAACGCUUUUAGCAUUCCGCCUGGGGAGUACGGUCGCAAGACUGAAACUCAAAGGAAUUGACGGGGACCCGCACAAGCGGUGGAGCAUGUGGUUUAAUUCGACGCAACGCGAAGAACCUUACCUGGGCUAGAAUGCCUCUGACAACCCUGGAAACAGGGCCUUCUGGGUAAAACCAGACAGAGUGCAAGGUGUUGCAUGGCU
This 562-nucleotide ribosomal RNA is filed under the name uncultured Acidobacteriaceae bacterium. Its description in RNAcentral is "bacterial SSU rRNA". It matches the Rfam family "Bacterial small subunit ribosomal RNA", at positions 495 to 1050 of the family's 1533-position model. The record is from RNAcentral. Lineage: Bacteria; Pseudomonadati; Acidobacteriota; Terriglobia; Terriglobales; Acidobacteriaceae.